This 928-nucleotide ribosomal RNA is filed under the name Cantharellus cibarius (golden chanterelle). RNAcentral's name for it is "eukaryotic LSU rRNA". It matches the Rfam family "Eukaryotic large subunit ribosomal RNA", at positions 38 to 979 of the family's 3401-position model. The record is from RNAcentral. Lineage: Eukaryota; Fungi; Basidiomycota; Agaricomycetes; Cantharellales; Hydnaceae.
GCAUAUCAAUAAGCGGAGGAAAAGAAACUAACUAGGAUUCCCCCAGUAACUGCGAGUGAAGAGGGAAGAGCUCAUCAUUGGAAUCUGGCAGUGUUGCACUGUCCGAGUUGUAGAUGAGGAGUAGUCCGUCUGGACUGCAUGGCGUCCAAGUACAAUAGGCCGUCAGUGGGACAUCAUAGAGGGUGACAAUCCCGUCCUUGACGCCAAUGUGCAAGUCUAUUACGAUGGCUAUCUCAGAGAGUCGAGCAGCUUGGGAUUUGCUGCUUAAACAUGGGAGGUAGAUUCCUUCUAAAGCUAAAUACAGGCGAGAGACCGAUAGAGAACAAGUACCGCAAGGGAAAGAUGAAAUAGCACUCUGUGAAGGGAGUCAAAAGGCGUGAAAUUGUUGCGAGAGAAGCGAUUCAAGUCAGCGUAGCUAGGCCCAUCAAGCGUCUUCGCUUUGGACUAGCUUUGCCAGCGGUCUUGUCCCUUGAAGAGACUUGACUUGUAAUAUGUCCAGCCUGGCGUGCACAGGCAGCCCCUUCUGGGGGCCAGUGGCAUGGCUGGUGGAAUGGCUUGCAAUCGACCCGUCUUGAAACACGGACCAAGGAGUCUAACAUGUAUGCGAGUAUAAGGGUGGCAAACCCGUAUGCGCAAUGAAAGUGAUUUUCGGUGAUUGAGAAUGGCCUGAUGACCAGACAAGCAAUAUAUGUCCCUCGUACGGCCAUUGCCCAAGUUCCGUGGUAGAUCCCACGAACAUGGAGUUGGAGCAUACAUGCUAGGACCCGAAAGAUGGUGAACUAUGCCUGGACAAAGCGAAGCCAAAGGAAACUCUGGUGGAGGCUUGUAGCGAUUCUGACGUGCAAAUCGAUCGUCUGAUCUGGGUAUAGGGGCGAAAGACUAAUCGAACCAUCUCAUAGCUGGUUCCUGCCGAAGUUUCCCUCAGGAU